This 164-nucleotide ribosomal RNA is filed under the name Plantago media. RNAcentral describes it as "5.8S ribosomal RNA". It matches the Rfam family "5.8S ribosomal RNA". From Rfam's summary of the family: 5.8S ribosomal RNA (5.8S rRNA) is a component of the large subunit of the eukaryotic ribosome. Lineage: Eukaryota; Viridiplantae; Streptophyta; Magnoliopsida; Lamiales; Plantaginaceae. The record is from RNAcentral.
UAAACGACUCUCGGCAACGGAUAUCUCGGCUCUCGCAUCGAUGAAGAACGUAGCGAAAUGCGAUACUUGGUGUGAAUUGCAGAAUCCCGUGAACCAUCGAGUCUUUGAACGCAAGUUGCGCCCGACGCCUUCGGGCUGAGGGCACGCCUGCCUGGGCGUCACGC